Molecule: non-coding RNA, 219 nt
Organism: Schizosaccharomyces pombe (fission yeast)
Lineage: Eukaryota; Fungi; Ascomycota; Schizosaccharomycetes; Schizosaccharomycetales; Schizosaccharomycetaceae
Source: the annotation of a GenBank genome assembly
GUAUAAGCAAUAUUUAUUACCUUAGCUCAAAUGCAGGAAAAAUGGAUUUAUGAAGAAUCGACUAUCUUUCAAACACCAUUUUCAAAUCGAAAUGGGAACAGCAAUAUGCAAAGUAAAUACACGGUUGCUACAUCGCUAAGUAUUUCCAAAAUAUAUCACAAUUGUUAAAAAUUAAAUCGUGACAAUGUUUAUUUAUGUGUUUAAGGAAUACGCUACUAA